AUUCAGUGUGAAACUUGUGGGAGAUGGUUUCACACGCAGUGCCUCGGAGUGCCUGCUGCACGAAUACCCAAAAAGAAUACCCCGUGGUAUUGUGUUUUGUGUAUCCUCACAAACUAAAGAGGCUAGAGAUUGCCUACCCGGUUCCGACCCUGCCUGUCCCCGACCUGCCUGCUCUGCCUGCUCUGCCUGAUCCCUGAUCCUGCCUGUACCUCCGUUGACCGCCUCGCCUGCUCCCUGACCCUCUGCCCGGCCCUGACUCACCUUCUGCCCGCUGUCCUCUGGUUCGUUUGCCUGCCCAUCAUCCGGCUGAUACUGUUCUGUUAUCCCUCUGCUCUGGUAUUAUUACAAAUAAAGUUCAUUACCAAUA
This is a long non-coding RNA of Gymnodraco acuticeps, 367 nucleotides long. RefSeq lists it as uncharacterized. Lineage: Eukaryota; Metazoa; Chordata; Actinopteri; Perciformes; Bathydraconidae. The record is from RefSeq and is a predicted model, not a curated record. The transcript is spliced from 2 exons.